CCGAGUUUACAACUCCCAAACCCCUGUGAACAUACCCUUUAUGUUGCCUCGGCGGAUCAGCCCGCGCCCCGUAAAACGGGACGGCCCCGCCAGCAGGAACCCUAAACUCUGUUUCUAUAGUGGAACUUCUGAGUAUAAAAACAUAAAUAAAUCA
RNAcentral lists this unclassified non-coding RNA (154 nucleotides) under soil metagenome. Its description in RNAcentral is "partial internal transcribed spacer 1". The record is from RNAcentral.